RNAcentral lists this ribosomal RNA (397 nucleotides) under uncultured soil bacterium. Its description in RNAcentral is "bacterial SSU rRNA". It matches the Rfam family "Bacterial small subunit ribosomal RNA", at positions 26 to 431 of the family's 1533-position model. The record is from RNAcentral.
AGGACGAACGCUAGCGGCGUGCCUAAUGUAUGCAAGUCGAACGGCCCGCAAGGGUAGUGGCGAACGGUUGAGUAACACGUAGACAACCUGCCUCCAGGUGGGGGAUAACAGCUCGAAAGGGCUGCUAAUACCGCAUAUGGCGCCCCGUGGCAUCACGGGAGGGCUAAAGGAGCAAUUCGCCUGGAGAUGGGUCUGCGGCCUAUCAGCUAGUUGGUGGGUAACGCCUACCGAAGGCGACGACGGGUAGCUGGUCUGAGAGGAUGAUCAGCCAGACGGGACUGAGACACGGCCCGACUCCUUCGGGAGCAGCAAGUGAGGAUAUGACACGAAGUCGGGGAAACCUGAUGCGACGCGACGCCGGCGGUGGGUAGAGGUACGUCCGUUCGGUUAGUAAACC